AUUAGCAGCCACACCACCCUGCAAUUCACAGCUGGCAGCCCACUGAAGCUCAGCAGGUGUGUGCCUGGUCAGUAUCUGGAUGGGAGACCUCCUGGGAAAAACUAAGGUUGCUGCUGGAA
RNAcentral lists this ribosomal RNA (119 nucleotides) under Lepisosteus oculatus (spotted gar). Lineage: Eukaryota; Metazoa; Chordata; Actinopteri; Semionotiformes; Lepisosteidae. The record is from RNAcentral.